RNAcentral lists this ribosomal RNA (465 nucleotides) under Vreelandella stevensii. Its description in RNAcentral is "partial 16S ribosomal RNA". It matches the Rfam family "Bacterial small subunit ribosomal RNA", at positions 338 to 795 of the family's 1533-position model. Lineage: Bacteria; Pseudomonadati; Pseudomonadota; Gammaproteobacteria; Oceanospirillales; Halomonadaceae. The record is from RNAcentral.
CCUACGGGUGGCAGCAGUGGGGAAUAUUGGACAAUGGGCGAAAGCCUGAUCCAGCCAUGCCGCGUGUGUGAAGAAGGCCUUCGGGUUGUAAAGCACUUUCAGUGGGGAAGAAAGCCUUGGGGCUAAUACCCUCGAGGAAGGACAUCACCCACAGAAGAAGCACCGGCUAACUCCGUGCCAGCAGCCGCGGUAAUACGGAGGGUGCGAGCGUUAAUCGGAAUUACUGGGCGUAAAGCGCGCGUAGGCGGUCUGAUAAGCCGGUUGUGAAAGCCCCGGGCUCAACCUGGGAACGGCAUCCGGAACUGUCAGGCUAGAGUGCAGGAGAGGAAGGUAGAAUUCCCGGUGUAGCGGUGAAAUGCGUAGAGAUCUGGAGGAAUACCAGUGGCGAAGGCGGCCUUCUGGACUGACACUGACGCUGAGGUGCGAAAGCGUGGGUAGCAAACAGGAUUAGAUACCCUUGUAGUC